GUGUUUAUGUGAUGUGUUGUUAUGUGUUGGGCGUGAUUAUGUACAUGGGCAUAUGUAUGUGUGAUGGUUCAUUGGCAUAAGCAUGAAAAUACAUUGAGUUUUCUAUGAAUGAGAAAGUGGGUUUUAGCAAAUUGAAUUUCGGUUUUAUGAGAUUUUGCAUUGGGGUCACCUCUUGAAGUUGUGUGGGGCCACCUCUUGAGACUAUGCAAGGGCUACCUCUUG
RNAcentral lists this long non-coding RNA (222 nucleotides) under Citrus sinensis (sweet orange). RNAcentral describes it as "long non-coding RNA (CSIN_LNC003529)". The record is from RNAcentral. Lineage: Eukaryota; Viridiplantae; Streptophyta; Magnoliopsida; Sapindales; Rutaceae.